This 254-nucleotide ribosomal RNA is filed under the name uncultured bacterium. RNAcentral's name for it is "partial 16S ribosomal RNA". It matches the Rfam family "Bacterial small subunit ribosomal RNA", at positions 524 to 776 of the family's 1533-position model. The record is from RNAcentral.
UACGGGGGGAGCAAGCGUUGUUCGGAUUUACUGGGCGUAAAGGGCGCGUAGGCGGUCAGUGCAAGUCAGUUGUGAAAUCUCCGGGCUUAACUCGGAAAGGUCAACUGAUACUGCUCGACUAGAGUGCGGAAGGGGCAACUGGAAUUCUUGGUGUAGCGGUGAAAUGCGUAGAUAUCAAGAGGAACACCUGCGGCGAAGGCGGGUUGCUGGGCCGACACUGACGCUGAUGCGCGAAAGCUAGGGGAGCGAACGGG